AUUGAACGCUGGCGGAAUGCUUUACACAUGCAAGUCGAACGGCAGCACGGACUUCGGUCUGGUGGCGAGUGGCGAACGGGUGAGUAAUGUAUCGGAACGUGCCCAGUCGUGGGGGAUAACGUAGUGAAAAUUACGCUAAUACCGCAUACGAUCUAUGGAUGAAAGCGGGGGAUCGCAAGAUCUCGCGCGAUUGGAGCGGCCGAUAUCAGAUUAGGUAGUUGGUGGGGUGAGGGCCCACCAAGCCAACGAUCUGUAGCUGGUCUGAGAGGACGACCAGCCACACUGGAACUGAGACACGGUCCAGACUCCUACGGGAGGCAGCAGUGGGGAAUUUUGGACAAUGGGCGAAAGCCUGAUCCAGCCAUUCCGCGUGCAGGAUGAAGGCCCACGGGUUGUAAACUGCUUUUGUACAGAACGAAAAGGUUUCUACUAAUACUAGGAGCUCAUGACGGUACUGUAAGAAUAAGCACCGGCUAACUACGUGCCAGCCGCCGCAGUAA
This 500-nucleotide ribosomal RNA is filed under the name uncultured bacterium. RNAcentral's name for it is "partial 16S ribosomal RNA". It matches the Rfam family "Bacterial small subunit ribosomal RNA", at positions 30 to 523 of the family's 1533-position model. The record is from RNAcentral.